GGUCAAGUUAUUAAGGGUGCAGGGCGGAUGCCUUGGCACUAGGAGCCGAUGAAGGACGUGAUAAGCUGCGAUAAGCUUCGGGGAGUUGCACGUAAACUUUGAUCCGAAGAUUUCCGAAUGAGGAAACUCACUUAGAGUAAUGUCUAAGUAUCAUUAAGUGAAUACAUAGCUUAAUGAGGGGAACUCAGGGAACUGAAACAUCUAAGUACCUGAAGGAAGAGAAAGAAAUUCGAUUCCGUAAGUAGCGGCGAGCGAACGCGGAUUAGCCCAAACCAAUAAAGUUUUCUUUAUUGGGGUUGCGGACAUAUCAUAACGAAGAGGUAUCGUAAUUGAAGAGGUUUGGAAAGACCCACCACAGAAGGUAAUAGUCCUGUAUGUUAAACGAGAAGACUUUAGAUAUGAUCCAGAGUACCACGGGACACGUGAAACCCUGUGGGAAGCAGGAGGGACCACCCUCCAAGGCUAAAUACUACCUAGUGACCGAUAGCGUAUAGUACCGUGAGGGAAAGGUGAAAAGAACCCCGGGAGGGGAGUGAAAUAGAACCUGAAACCCUGCACUUACAAGCUGUGGAAGCACAUUUCUUGUGUGACCGCGUACUUUUUGUAGAACGGGCCAACGAGUUACGUUAAGUAGCAAGGUUAAGCACUUAAGGUGUGGAGCCGUAGCGAAAGCGAGUUUUAACUGAGCGUUCAGUUACUUGACGUAGACCCGAAACCGGGCGACCUACCCAUGAGCAGGAUGAAGCGAAAGUAAAAUUUCGUGGAGGUCCGAACCCACGAGCG
This 783-nucleotide ribosomal RNA is filed under the name Clostridioides difficile. Its description in RNAcentral is "partial 23S ribosomal RNA". It matches the Rfam family "Bacterial large subunit ribosomal RNA", at positions 1 to 788 of the family's 2925-position model. Lineage: Bacteria; Bacillati; Bacillota; Clostridia; Peptostreptococcales; Peptostreptococcaceae. The record is from RNAcentral.